Molecule: long non-coding RNA, 914 nt
Filed under: Arachis ipaensis
Lineage: Eukaryota; Viridiplantae; Streptophyta; Magnoliopsida; Fabales; Fabaceae
Description: long non-coding RNA (AIPA_LNC000287)
Source: RNAcentral
AGAGGUGCUCUGUAAUUUUAGCUUCAGGUUGGUAUAGUUACUCUAUUCCUCCUUACAAUUUACUUUUCCUAUUUUUGCUGGAGAAAGAAAAAGAGAUUAUGAUAGCUUCAAUUUCAGAAGGAAUUAGUUAUAAUGUAUAUGCUAAACUAAAUGUACUAUAAAUAUCAACUUAAUUUUGGUUCUUUAACUGCUGCCAAAGCUGUUACAAUGCCAAAACUGCAAUUCACUGGUGGAGCUUGUAAAUUUAAACAAAAAGAUCUAACAUUUAUAAUGCAUUCAGCUUUAUUACAUGAAUUUAUAAAUACAGCUGUAAUGUGGUUCAUUAAUAAAAUCUGUUAUCAAAGACAAUCUUGAUAAGCUUUCUCGUUGUUGAACAAAAUAUUAGGUCUGGGCUUUGGCUGUUUGAUGGCUUGUGGAUUCUGCUGGGAUUGUCAAGCUUACUAGCUCCGCUUCUGAAAAUUAUGUGAGUUCUUAAACCACACAUCAAGGCCAAUAAUUGAUUGCCUUUUGUUCAAACAUUUCAUGAAGAGGAUCAUACUUUUAUUAAAUUGAUAAUUUUACAAUUUUGUGAUCAUACUCGAAUAACAUGCACUUUAGUAUGAUUAAUUUUGACAUGGACCUCAAUUUUCAUUACCAUAUUGUUACUGGAAUGAUUUCUUUUUUUUUUUUUUGGGUUGAUUAUACAGUCACUAUAAAUCUGCAGUUGGGGAGUGCUUCAAUGGUGGAUUGGGCUGAAAUUUCGAUAGCAAGUUCUGGAUGUAAUUUUUCGUUCCGAAUUGUUGGAGGAUUAAGAUAAGAUUUGGAGGGUGAGAUAUAGCUUGCAUGUGCAAAGUAACUCUGGUUUUGAAAACUUUUCAUGUUUUUGGUUCACAUUUAUAUGCUGUGGUGCUUGAUUGUUUUGACUUAAAUGUAAG